RNAcentral lists this small RNA (1190 nucleotides) under Pongo abelii (Sumatran orangutan). RNAcentral describes it as "retained intron". The record is from RNAcentral. Lineage: Eukaryota; Metazoa; Chordata; Mammalia; Primates; Hominidae.
GCCUAGCGCGCGGAACGGCUGGGGCCGGGGCGCGGAUGCUGGAAGUUCACAUCCCGUCGGUGGGGCCCGAGGCCGAGGGGCCCAGGCAGAGCCCGGAGAAAAGCCACAUGGUGUUCCGAGUGGAGGUGCUGUGCAGCGGGCGCAGACACACGGUGCCGAGGCGCUACAGCGAGUUCCACGCCCUGCACAAGCGGGUGAGGCGGCGCCGACCUCCCACCGGCCCCGGCCCAGCCUCUGUCCAGCCCCUGCCCAGUCCCUGUGAGGCGGGCGGGCGAGCUCCAGCCCCAGCCUCCGCCAUCCCCAUUACUGCCUCAGUCCCUGCGCGGCCGGUCAGCCCCCGAGCCUCUGUGGGUGGGUUGGGGCCUUCCUCGCCCUCGGCCGGUCCACCACUCACCAGGGUCUUACCCAGGGUAGAGCCCGAAGGCGGGGGCGCGGGAGGGCUUCUGGCUCAGGCGAAGAGGGCUUGAGGGCUCAGUCGGGAUGCUGUGAUCGCACGCGGUAAACCUCCAGUAGAUCAAGAAGCUGUACAAAGUGCCCGACUUCCCCUCGAAACGCCUGCCCAACUGGAGGACCAGAGGGUUGGAACAGCGCCGGCAGGGCUUGGAGGCCUACAUCCAGGGCAUCCUGUACCUGAACCAGGAGGUGCCCAAGGAGUUACUGGAAUUCCUGAGACUUCGGCACUUCCCCACAGACCCCAAGGCUAGCAACUGGGGCACCCUGGGGGAGUUCCUGCCUGGCGACAGCAGCUCCCAGCAGCACCAGCGGCCUGUCCUGAGCUUCCAUGUGGAUCCCUAUGUUUGCAACCCCUCCCCAGAGUCGCUGCCCAACGUGGUGGUGAAUGGUGUGCUCCAGGGCCUCUACAGCUUCAGCAUCAGCCCAGAUAAAGCCCAGCCAGAGGCGGCCUGUCACCCUGCUCCUCUGCCACCGAUGCCCUGAUCAGUCCAGAGGCCUUUAGCUGCCUCCUAAGAAAGUCAUGUGCCUCUGUCCUAUGAGCUCCAUAUAAGGCUAGGUCCUCCUUUGGCCUGGACCCAGGACUUAACUACCCAGUGCCCAGUUGUGCCACAUUCCCACUCAAGGCUCAGAACUUGGCUCGCAUUGGUAGCUGGAGGUGGUAGAAUCUGCACGCUCUUAGAGCCCAACAGCCAAGGCAGGGUCAAGAAGAUAAGUAAUAAAGGAAGAAGUCAGCCAGG